AUGAAAUAAAUGUCGAAAAGGGUUGUAGCUGGCCUCUUGAGGCAUGUGCACACCUUUAUCGUGCAUCUACAUCUCACACCUGUGCACAACCUGUAGCUUGGGAUGAUUACAAUACUGGAAACGGUAUUGAAAGCCCUCGCUAUGAAUUUUUAUACAACCCUAUUAAAAGUUACAGAAUGUUGAAUCAAGGUGCUUUGGUACCUAUAAAGUUAUAUA
This 216-nucleotide unclassified non-coding RNA is filed under the name uncultured Pseudotomentella. RNAcentral's name for it is "sequence contains ITS1". Lineage: Eukaryota; Fungi; Basidiomycota; Agaricomycetes; Thelephorales; Thelephoraceae. The record is from RNAcentral.